RNAcentral lists this long non-coding RNA (702 nucleotides) under Gossypium barbadense (sea-island cotton). RNAcentral's name for it is "long non-coding RNA (GBAR_LNC009607)". Lineage: Eukaryota; Viridiplantae; Streptophyta; Magnoliopsida; Malvales; Malvaceae. The record is from RNAcentral.
CUCAGCCCCCUCCAUGUGCGCCCUCAGCGUGCACUCCGCUCGAGGGUCGACUCCCCUGGCAUGCUAGCACUGAAACCACAAAACCCUACCCUGUUGACUCUCUAGGCUUGCAAAACAGAAACAGAAAGAGAAACAUAGAAGCAAGUCGACAAAGCAGAAACCAAACAAUGGCUAAAUAGUACCAAACAGUAGCAAAGGCAGUGAUAAAGAAAGAAAUAUGUAUUUUUAAACAAGGAAAAAAUGGCUAUAAAGGCCAGAUGAUAGUUUGUAUUCGAGAGGGGGGAUUUUUUAUUUUUGAAAUAAAAAUACAAAGAAAGUCGAAACAUCAAAGGUUUUCUUUUUUUAUUUUUAUUUAUUUUUGUUUCAUUUCUCGGAAUAAAAGAUAGAAAGCAAAAAACUCACCUAUCUCCCUCGUGUCUUGCCAUCGUCAGAGGUCCCCUUUGGUCGUGAAAGCCAAGAAAACCUUUUAGGGUUUAGAUCGAGCUUUGAAAAAGGAAUAUGGGAAGUCAAAGGGCCAAAGUCGAUUGUUUCUCGCUUUCUCUUACUUUUUCUAGGAUUUUGCAUAGAGAUUUAAGAUUUUUUUAGGUUGAAAAUCGAUUUUGAGGUCUCCGGCCACCGUGUACGGCGGCGCUAUCGCUAGUGACCGACGGCCAUCACGGUGGUCCGGCGACCAAUCUCAGAACGGAGGGGGAAGGUUGAGAG